RNAcentral lists this unclassified non-coding RNA (212 nucleotides) under Lasiodiplodia citricola. Its description in RNAcentral is "partial internal transcribed spacer region". The stretch from base 1 to 46 matches the Rfam family "Eukaryotic small subunit ribosomal RNA", at positions 1786 to 1831 of the family's 1831-position model. The record is from RNAcentral. Lineage: Eukaryota; Fungi; Ascomycota; Dothideomycetes; Botryosphaeriales; Botryosphaeriaceae.
AAGUCGUAACAAGGUUUCCGUAGGUGAACCUGCGGAAGGAUCAUUACCGAGUUUUCGGGCUUCGGCUCGACUCUCCCACCCUUUGUGAACGUACCUCUGUUGCUUUGGCGGCUUCGGCCGCCAAAGGACCUUCAAACUCCAGUCAGUAAACGCAGACGUCUGAUAAACAAGUUAAUAAACUAAAACUUUCAACAACGGAUCUCUUGGUUCUG